Molecule: ribosomal RNA, 446 nt
Filed under: uncultured bacterium
Lineage: Bacteria
Description: partial 16S ribosomal RNA
Rfam family: Bacterial small subunit ribosomal RNA
Source: RNAcentral
UCCAGACUCCUACGGGAGGCAGCAGUGGGGGAUAUUGCACAAUGGGGGGAACCCUGAUGCAGCGACGCCGCGUGGGUGAAGGAGCGUUUCGGCGCGUAAAGCCCUAUCGGCAGGGAAGAAGGAGGACGGUACCUGACUAAGAAGCCCCGGCUAACUACGUGCCAGCAGCCGCGGUAAUACGUAGGGGGCAAGGGUUAUCCGGAUUUACUGGGUGUAAAGGGGGCGCAGACGGCAGCGCAAGCCAGGAGUGAAAGCCCGGGGCCCAACCCCGGGACUGCUCUUGGAACUGCGCGGCUGGAGUGCAGGAGGGGCAUGCGGAAUUCCUGGUGUAGCGGUGAAAUGCGUAGAUAUCAGGAGGAACACCGGUGGCGAAGGCGGCCUGCUGGACUGCGACUGACGUUGAGGCCCGAAAGCGUGGGGAGCAAACAGGAUUAGAUACCCGGGUA